RNA transcript from Gigantopelta aegis, 1061 nucleotides. RefSeq lists it as uncharacterized. The transcript is spliced from 5 exons. The record is from RefSeq and is a predicted model, not a curated record. Lineage: Eukaryota; Metazoa; Mollusca; Gastropoda; Neomphalida; Peltospiridae.
AUAGUACAUACCACGGCCUUUGCUACACCAGUUGCGGAGCACUGGCUGGAACGAGAAAUAGCCUAAUGGGUCCACCGACGGGGAUCGAUCCUAGACCGCGCUUCACCACUGGAAUACGUCCCGUCCUUCGCAGGACAUUGACUACUUGGAACAUUGCCAAUAGGGGAAGGGCAAUUCUGAUGUCAUAAUCGAGGCGUGGCAAAUUCGAUAAAUGGGCAAUUACCUAGAGCCGACGUCAUUGCUGGGGCGUGGACAUUAUAUACGAUGAGAUCAGCUUGAAAUGUUCUCAUGGGUGGACAACGUACAUUUCAGAAUCUCCAGGAAAAGAAAUUCUGCAGCUCAACAAAUACAAACCAUCCUUGAUAGUGGUCCAUAGACUUGCCAAAUGUCAUUACGAAUGUUUCAUGUGCUAUUCGUGUUCCUACACGUACGAUGACGGUCGCAACGGAAUUGAAUGUCUCAACAAACCGGGAGCCUUAGGACCGAGAUACACUGUAAAAUGCGGAAACCACUGCAUAACAGCAGAGCAAUGGGAUAUUCGACACAAGCGAAUCAACUCAUUUUUUCGUGGAUGCUCUCCGAACAUUGGCAACAAAUGUACCCCGGAUGUGUGGCACAUAUCGUGCGUGACGUCAUGUCGAGGAGACUACUGCAACAGAGAUUUGUUCGUCGAUACGAAAAACCCACCAGUUAUGAAUACAUGCAAAGAUUUUUACGGGUGCAGUGACGGAGUUACACGAAUGACGUCACAGUACUCUAUCGCGUUCGUGUGUGUGUUAUUAGUGAACAUACUGUACUUCGCCUGGUGUUAACGGUGUUUGUAUCUAUAAUGCUAGAUUCAGACUACCAGCUGUCACAACGGAUUUGGCCAAUUCGACAGUUGCGUUGUAAUCCCCCCCCCCCCCCCCCCCCACCACCACACACACCACUACUAACUUAUGACGGGUGCGCUCAGACCAACAACUAAUUGUUCGUAGGCGUUGCCAUGGGCGGAUCCAAGGGGGGGGGGGACCAGGGGGACGCGUCCCCCCCCCCAAAAUUGUUCAAGUGCCCUCAAAAUG